RNAcentral lists this unclassified non-coding RNA (797 nucleotides) under uncultured cyanobacterium. Its description in RNAcentral is "partial contains 16S ribosomal RNA, 16S-23S ribosomal RNA intergenic spacer, and 23S ribosomal RNA". The stretch from base 1 to 112 matches the Rfam family "Bacterial small subunit ribosomal RNA", at positions 1423 to 1533 of the family's 1533-position model. Lineage: Bacteria; Bacillati; Cyanobacteriota. The record is from RNAcentral.
GAAGUCGUUACUUUAACCCUUGUGGAGAAGGACGCCGAAGGUGGGGCUGAUGACUGGGGUGAAGUCGUAACAAGGUAGCCGUACCGGAAGGUGCGGCUGGAUCACCUCCUAACAGGGAGACAAUAAAUUGAUUGUGAUGUCUAAGUUAUUUAUUCUUAGGCCGCAAUCCUGUCACCUUAAGGUCGAUCGGUACCUCAGAUUUUUGAAUUAGUUUUACAAUUGAUUCUUUGAUUUCAGUUCCUAAACUUGUCUAGGUCACACCCAACAAAGGUUUCUCCUGGGCCAUUAGCUCAGGUGGUUAGAGCGCACCCCUGAUAAGGGUGAGGUCCCUGGUUCAAGUCCAGGAUGGCCCAUUCGUUGUUGGGGGUAUAGCUCAGUUGGUAGAGCGCCUGCUUUGCAAGCAGGAUGUCAGCGGUUCGAGUCCGCUUACCUCCACUGAAAACUAUCCUGAUAACUAAAUUCUGGAGAAAAAAAUUGUAGAUGUGGCUUAGAAUUGUCUAUUUGAAAAGAACCUAGCUUCUUAUCAUCUUUGUAAGUUGAUAAUAUGCUGGGCUCACAUGGAUUUAUUCCAUGAGAAUUCAGUAGAACCUUGAAAACUGCAUAGAUUAGAAAGAAUAAAGCAUCUCAUGGAUGCAUAAUUCUGAAUUAAUAAUUUGGCCUUAAAAACUAAAUUAUUUAAUUCUAGAAUUCAUGUUUAAAUCUUGAGUAAUAGCCGAGCACAAUUGAUUUUGUGAUUGUAUUAAAGGUCAAGCUACAAAGGGCUCAUGGCGGAUACCUUGGCACACAGAGGCGAUGAA